GACGAACGCUGGCGGUGUGCUUAACACAUGCAAGUCGAACGGAAAGGCCCUGCUUUUGUGGGGUGCUCGAGUGGCGAACGGGUGAGUAACACGUGAGUAACCUGCCCUUGACUUUGGGAUAACUUCAGGAAACUGGGGCUAAUACCGGAUAGGAGCUCCUGCUGCAUGGUGGGGGUUGGAAAGUUUCGGCGGUUGGGGAUGGACUCGCGGCUUAUCAGCUUGUUGGUGGGGUAGUGGCUUACCAAGGCUUUGACGGGUAGCCGGCCUGAGAGGGUGACCGGCCACAUUGGGACUGCGAUACGGACCAGACUCCUACGGGAGCCAGCAGUGGGGAAUAUUGCACAAUGGGCGCAAGCCUGAUGCAGCAGCCCCGCGUGCGGGAUGACGGCCUUCGGGUUGUAAACCGCUUUCGCCUGUGACGAAGCGUGAGUGACGGUAAUGGGUAAAGAAGCACCGGCUAACUACGUG
This 468-nucleotide ribosomal RNA is filed under the name uncultured bacterium. RNAcentral describes it as "partial 16S ribosomal RNA". It matches the Rfam family "Bacterial small subunit ribosomal RNA", at positions 28 to 507 of the family's 1533-position model. The record is from RNAcentral.